AAUUGAAAGUUAUGCUGACUUUCAUAAAAAAUUUAUUCACCAGUUCGCUGGAUCGAAACACGUGAAAGUCACAUCAACCAGUCUUUUCUCUAUCCGCCAAAACCCUGGCGAGUCAUUGCGUAAUUUCCUCGCCAGAUUUAGCGAAGCUACCAUCAAAGUCUCAAAUCCAAAUCAGGAGAUGUUUGUGGCAGCCUUCCACAAUGGGCUAAGAGCGGGACAUUUC
RNAcentral lists this long non-coding RNA (223 nucleotides) under Trifolium pratense (red clover). Its description in RNAcentral is "long non-coding RNA (TPRA_LNC007086)". The record is from RNAcentral. Lineage: Eukaryota; Viridiplantae; Streptophyta; Magnoliopsida; Fabales; Fabaceae.